AGAGUUUGAUCCUGGCUCAGAUUGAACGCUGGCGGCAGGCCUAACACAUGCAAGUCGAGCGGUAACAGAAAGUAGCUUGCUACUUUGCUGACGAGCGGCGGACGGGUGAGUAAUGCUUGGGAACAUGCCUUGAGGUGGGGGACAACAGUUGGAAACGACUGCUAAUACCGCAUAAUGUCUACGGACCAAAGGGGGCUUCGGCUCUCGCCUUUAGAUUGGCCCAAGUGGGAUUAGCUAGUUGGUGAGGUAAUGGCUCACCAAGGCGACGAUCCCUAGCUGGUUUGAGAGGAUGAUCAGCCACACUGGGACUGAGACACGGCCCAGACUCCUACGGGAGGCAGCAGUGGGGAAUAUUGCACAAUGGGCGCAAGCCUGAUGCAGCCAUGCCGCGUGUGUGAAGAAGGCCUUCGGGUUGUAAAGCACUUUCAGUCAGGAGGAAAGGUUAGUAGUUAAUACCUGCUAGCUGUGACGUUACUGACAGAAGAAGCACCGGCUAACUCCGUGCCAGCAGCCGCGGUAAUACGGAGGGUGCGAGCGUUAAUCGGAAUUACUGGGCGUAAAGCGUACGCAGGCGGUUUGUUAAGCGAGAUGUGAAAGCCCCGGGCUCAACCUGGGAACUGCAUUUCGAACUGGCAAACUAGAGUG
Molecule: ribosomal RNA, 645 nt
Filed under: uncultured Pseudoalteromonas sp.
Lineage: Bacteria; Pseudomonadati; Pseudomonadota; Gammaproteobacteria; Alteromonadales; Pseudoalteromonadaceae
Description: bacterial SSU rRNA
Rfam family: Bacterial small subunit ribosomal RNA
Source: RNAcentral